UCGAAGGUAGCAUAAUCAUUAGUCUUUUAAUUGAAGGCUGGAAUGAAUGGUUGGAUGAAAUAUUAACUGUUUCAUUUAAAAUUUAAAUAGAAUUUUAUUUUUUAGUUAAAAAGCUAAAAUUUUAUUAAAAGACGAGAAGACCCUAUAAAUCUUUAUAUAUGAUUUGUAUUAAUUAUGUUGAUAUUUUUAAUUAUUGUAGAGUAUUAUAUUUUAUUGGGGUGAUAUUAAAAUUUAAAAAACUUUUAAUUUAUAUUUAACAUAAAUUAAUGAAUUUAUGAUCCAUUAUUAAUGAUUAAAAAUUUAAGUUACUUUAGGGAUAACAGCGUAAUUUUUUUGGAGAGUUCAUAUCGAUAAAAAAGAUUGCGACCUCGAUGUUGGAUUAA
RNAcentral lists this ribosomal RNA (383 nucleotides) under Mumetopia sp. n. 1 AT-2020. Its description in RNAcentral is "partial large subunit ribosomal RNA". The record is from RNAcentral. Lineage: Eukaryota; Metazoa; Arthropoda; Insecta; Diptera; Anthomyzidae.